GGUAUAAGAGACAGCAGUAGCCAGGUAAUACGUAGGUGGCAAGCGUUGUCCGGAAUUAUUGGGCGUAAAGGGCUCGCAGGCGGUUUCUUAAGUCUGAUGUGAAAGCCCCCGGCUCAACCGGGGAGGGUCAUUGGGAACUGGGAAACUUGAGUGCAGAAGAGGAGAGUGGAAUUCCACGUGUAGCGGUGAAAUGCGUAGAGAUGUGGAGGAACACCAGUGGCGAAGGCGACUCUCUGGUCUGUAACUGACGCUGAGGAGCGAAAGCGUGGGGAGCGAACAGGAUUAGAUACCCCCGUAGUCCCUGUCUCUUAUACC
RNAcentral lists this ribosomal RNA (315 nucleotides) under uncultured bacterium. RNAcentral's name for it is "partial 16S ribosomal RNA". It matches the Rfam family "Bacterial small subunit ribosomal RNA", at positions 498 to 808 of the family's 1533-position model. The record is from RNAcentral.